AGAGUUUGAUCUGGCUCAGGAUGAACGCUAGCGACAGGCUUAACACAUGCAAGUCGAGGGGCAGCGAGGGCGUAGCAAUACGCCUGUCGGCGACCGGCGCACUGGUGAGUAACACGUAUGCGACCUGCCCCCUACAGGGGUAUAACCCGUAGAAAUGCGGACUAAUCCCCCAUAGUCCUGGAGGCUGCAUGGCUUUCAGGGGAAAGGCCAGCCGGUAGGGGAUGGGCAUGCGGCGCAUUAGCUAGUUGGCGGGGCAACGGCCCACCAAGGCGACGAUGCGUAGGGGUUCUGAGAGGAAGGUCCCCCACACUGGUACUGAGACACGGACCAGACUCCUACGGGAGGCAGCAGUGAGGAAUAUUGGUCAAUGGGCGCAGGCCUGAACCAGCCAAGUCGCGUGAGGGAUGACGGUCCUACGGAUUGUAAACCUCUUUUGUCGGGGAGUAACGUGCGGGACGUGUCCCGUAUUGAGAGUACCCGAAGAAAAAGCAUCGGCUAACUCCGUGCCAGCAGCCGCGGUAAUACGGAGGAUGCGAGCGUUAUCCGGAUUUAUUGGGUUUAAAGGGUGCGCAGGCGGCGCGCCAAGUCAGCGGUCAAAGUUCCGGGCUCAACCCGGUGUCGCCGUUGAAACUGGCGUGCUCGAGUGCGUGCGAGGAAGGCGGAAUGCGUUGUGUAGCGGUGAAAUGCAUAGAUAUGACGCAGAACUCCGAUUGCGAAGGCAGCUUUCCAGCGCGCUACUGACGCUGAGGCACGAAAGCGUGGGGAUCGAACCAGGAUUAGAUACCCUGGUAGUCCACGCAGUAAACGAUGACUACU
Molecule: ribosomal RNA, 816 nt
Filed under: uncultured bacterium
Lineage: Bacteria
Description: bacterial SSU rRNA
Rfam family: Bacterial small subunit ribosomal RNA
Source: RNAcentral